UAUAUUCUGUAGCAAGGUUAACCGAAUAGGGGAGCCGGAGGGAAACCGAGUCUUAAUUGGGCGUUAAGUUGCAGGGUAUAGACCCGAAACCCGGUGAUCUAGCCAUGGGCAGGUUGAAGGUUGGGUAACACUAACUGGAGGACCGAACCGACUAAUGUUGAAAAAUUAGCGGAUGACCUGUGGCUGGGGGUGAAAGGCCAAUCAAACCGGGAGAUAGCUGGUUCUCCCCGAAAGCUAUUUAGGUAGCGCCUCGUGAAUUCAUCUCCGGGGGUAGAGCACUGUUUCGGCUAGGGGGCCAUCCCGGCUUACCAACCCGAUGCAAACUGCGAAUACCGGAGAAUGUUAUCACGGGAGACACACGGCGGGUGCUAACGUCCGUCGUGAAGAGGGAAACAACCCAGACCGCCAGCUAAGGUCCCAAAGUCAUGGUUAAGUGGGAAACGAUGUGGGAAGGCCCAGACAGCCAGGAUGUUGGCUUAGAAGCAGCCAUCAUUUAAAGAAAGCGUAAUAGCUCACUGGUCGAGUCGGCCUGCGCGGAAGAUGUAACGGGGCUAAACCAUGCACCGAAGCUGCGGCAGCGACACUGUGUGUUGUUGGGUAGGGGAGCGUUCUGUAAGCCUGUGAAGGUGUGUCGUGAGGCAUGCUGGAGGUAUCAGAAGUGCGAAUGCUGACAUAAGUAACGAUAAAGCGGGUGAAAAGCCCGCUCGCCGGAAGACCAAGGGUUCCUGUCCAACGUUAAUCGGGGCAGGGUGAGUCGACCCCUAAGGCGAGGCCGAAAGGCGUAGUCGAUGGGAAACGGGUUAAUAUUCCCGUACUUGGUGUUACUGCGAAGGGGGGACGGAGAAGGCUAUGUUGGCCGGGCGACGGUUGUCCCGGUUUAAGCGUGUAGGUGUGUGUUCCAGGUAAAUCCGGUUCACUUUAACACUGAGGCGUGACGACGAGGCACUACGGUGCUGAAGCAACAAAUGCCCUGCUUCCAGGAAAAGCCUCUAAGCAUCAGGUAACAUCAAAUCGUACCCCAAACCGACACAGGUGGUCAGGUAGAGAAUACCAAGGCGCUUGAGAGAACUCGGGUGAAGGAACUAGGCAAAAUGGUGCCGUAACUUCGGGAGAAGGCACGCUGACACGUAGGUGAAGUGAUUUACUCAUGGAGCUGAAGUCAGUCGAAGAUACCAGCUGGCUGCAACUGUUUAUUAAAAACACAGCACUGUGCAAACACGAAAGUGGACGUAUACGGUGUGACGCCUGCCCGGUGCCGGAAGGUUAAUUGAUGGGGUCAGCGCAAGCGAAGCUCCUGAUCGAAGCCCCGGUAAACGGCGGCCGUAACUAUAACGGUCCUAAGGUAGCGAAAUUCCUUGUCGGGUAAGUUCCGACCUGCACGAAUGGCGUAAUGAUGGCCAGGCUGUCUCCACCCGAGACUCAGUGAAAUUGAACUCGCUGUGAAGAUGCAGUGUACCCGCGGCAAGACGGAAAGACCCCGUGAACCUUUACUAUAGCUUGACACUGAACAUUGAGCCUUGAUGUGUAGGAUAGGUGGGAGGCUUUGAAGUGUGGACGCCAGUCUGCAUGGAGCCGACCUUGAAAUACCACCCUUUAAUGUUUGAUGUUCUAACGUGGACCCGUUACCCGGGUUGCGGACAGUGUCUGGUGGGUAGUUUGACUGGGGCGGUCUCCUCCUAAAGAGUAACGGAGGAGCACGAAGGUUGGCUAAUCCUGGUCGGACAUCAGGAGGUUAGUGCAAUGGCAUAAGCCAGCUUGACUGCGAGCGUGACGGCGCGAGCAGGUGCGAAAGCAGGUCAUAGUGAUCCGGUGGUUCUGAAUGGAAGGGCCAUCGCUCAACGGAUAAAAGGUACUCCGGGGAUAACAGGCUGAUACCGCCCAAGAGUUCAUAUCGACGGCGGUGUUUGGCACCUCGAUGUCGGCUCAUCACAUCCUGGGGCUGAAGUAGGUCCCAAGGGUAUGGCUGUUCGCCAUUUAAAGUGGUACGCGAGCUGGGUUUAGAACGUCGUGAGACAGUUCGGUCCCUAUCUGCCGUGGGCGCUGGAGAACUGAGGGGGGCUGCUCCUAGUACGAGAGGACCGGAGUGGACGCAUCACUGGUGUUCGGGUUGUCAUGCCAAUGGCACUGCCCGGUAGCUAAAUGCGGAAGAGAUAAGUGCUGAAAGCAUCUAAGCACGAAACUUGCCCCGAGAUGAGUUCUCCCUGAGACUUA
RNAcentral lists this ribosomal RNA (2211 nucleotides) under Salmonella enterica. Its description in RNAcentral is "bacterial LSU rRNA". It matches the Rfam family "Bacterial large subunit ribosomal RNA", at positions 629 to 2824 of the family's 2925-position model. Lineage: Bacteria; Pseudomonadati; Pseudomonadota; Gammaproteobacteria; Enterobacterales; Enterobacteriaceae. The record is from RNAcentral.